CAUUUUGGGAAGCCGACGUGGGUGGAUCACCUGAGGUCAGGAGUUCGAGACCAGCCUGGCCAACAUGGUGAAACUCUGUCUCUACUAAAAUACAAAAAUUAGCCGGGCGUGGUGGCAGGGGCCUGUAAUCCCAGCUACUCAGGACGCUGAGGCAGGAGAAUCGAUUGAACCUGGGAGGCGGAGGUUGCAUUAGCCAAGAUUGCGCCAUUGCACUCCAGCCUGGGCAACAAGAGAGAAACUCCAUCUCAAAGAAAAAAAAAAGAAAGAAAGAAAAAGAAAAGAAAAGGUCUUCAUGGUCCUACGAGGAAGACUGGCUUCCAUGAAGCAAGGAACGUGGCUGACUGUCUACACUUGCGCUAACAAUAGCUCGGGAAAGAAAACACAGUUUUUGUGCAUGAUUUUCUGACCCUCACCAAACUUGGGCGGAUGGCUACGGGCAGGGUUUCUUAUAAAGCUGCUCGUUUCCCCGGGUGCCGAAAAGGAAUUCAAACAGAGGCCUUUUCUGUUCUUGUAACUUGCUGACCCACAUGGGAAGUAGCCACCCCCCCAGUACCCUGACAUUCCCACCCAGCCACCAGGCAGCAGCAGCCGCUGGGCUCUCUGACUGCAGCCCACAGCGAGAGACGAAUUUCAUGCUGUGAUCCAGAACAUACACACAAGCACCCGCACACACAGGUGCAUUUGUAUGUGUUACUUUCUCCUGGAUCCCCAGUGCCUGCCACACAGUAGCUGCUCAACAAGUAUCUACUGAGUGAGUGAGUGAAUAGAAUAAUGCGUUUGGAAAUACACGGUUGACACUAAAGUUUGAUGGGACAAUGCUCACCUUACUACGUGCCUUCUGUUGAGUUUCCCAGUCCAUUAAUGGGUCACAACUCAAAGUCUGAACAACACUGCUGUGAAGCCCCCAUCUUAAGGGGCAUGUGGAUUUAGUCCUGAGAUACAGGCAGCCAGAAGUCUGAGUGCCCUGACAGUCCCCACAGAUGGUGCCCAUCAAUUUCUCCCCUCACCACAUGUGCAAGUCACACCACUCAGCCAGGGGUAGAGUCUGUUUCCCCUCCCCUUGAGUCUGGGCUGGCCCUGUGACUUGCCUUGACCAACAGAAAGCACUAGAAAUGACACUCUGCCAGUUCUGGGCCUGGACCUCAAGAAACCUGGUAGCUUCAGUUUUCAAUCUUGGAAGUCAGUCACCAUGCUAUGAGGAAGUCCAACUAUCCUGCCAGAGAGAGUCCUGGGGGAUAAGACAGCACAUGGAGAGAGAAAGAGGCCACACAGAGGUGCACUGAGGCCCCAGACAUCUUCCAGGAAUCUCAGAGUGAAACCAGACACUACACGUUAACAACUUUGUCCGUGGCACACGCCUGUAAUCCCAGCACUUUGGGAGGCUGAGGUGGGUGGAUCACUUGAGGUCAGGAGUUCGAGACCAGCCUGGCCAAAAUGGUGAAACCCCUUCUCUACUAAAAAUACAAAAAUUAGCUGGGCAUGGUGGUGCACGCCUGUAGUCUCAGCUACUUGGGAGGCUGAGGCAGGAGGAUUGCUUGAACCCAGGAGGCGGAGGUUGUAGUGAGCUGAGAUUGUGCCACUGCACUCCAGCCUGGGUGACAGCCAGACUCCAUCUAAAAAAAAAAGAAAAAAAAGAAAUAGGUAAAGGGAAUGUUGUGUCCUAACUGGAGUUCUCUGAGGGCCAAGGACCUCAGAAUUACCUUGCUCAAACAAAGCCUGAAAGAGCCAACCCUAGCUAAGGUGAAGGGUGUUCCUGCUCAGCAACCCACAGUCUCUGGGAAGACUGGAAGAGAUCUUCAAGAGUUCCUGUAACCUUGCAGUGUGAAAGCAAAGCGUGAGUGAUCCAAGGGAAAGUCCUGUGCGACCCCAGAAGUGUAGGCAGCAAGCCACCCAGGCGCUGAGGCAAGAGACCGAGGACACGAGCUGUUCCAGUAUAAUAAAAUAUAAAACAAGAAUAGUUAUACCAGAUAUAGAUCUUAGAUAUGAUUAUAUAUGAAUAUCAAUAAUCAUUAGUUUGUAGCAAUUACUCUUUAUUCCAAUAUUAUAAUAAUCCUUGCUCUAUAAUCAUAACCUAGGAAAAACCAGGCCAUACAGAGAUAGGAGCUGAGGGGACACAGUGAGAAGUGACCAGAAGAUAAGAGUGCAAGCCUUCUGUUAUGCCCAGACAGGGCCACCAGAGGGUUCCUUGGUCUAGCGGUGAUGCCAGCGUCUGGGAAGACACCCGUUGCCAGGCGGACCGUGGUCUAGCGGUAGCAAAAAGUGUCAAGGAACAACACCCGCUACUUAGCAGACCGGGAAAGGGAGGCUCCCUUUCCCCGGGGGAGUUUAGAGAAGACUCUGCUCCUCCAUCUCUUGUGGAGGGCCUGACAUUAGUCAGGCCCGCCCGCAGUUAUCCGGAGGCCUAACCAGAGUCUCCCUGUGAUGCUGUGCUUCAGUGGUCACGCUCCUAGUCCGCCUUCAUGUUCCAUCCUGUACACCUGGCUCUGCCUUCUAGAUAGCAGUAGUCAAUUAGUGAAAGUACUAAAAGUCUCUGACGUGCAGAAAUAAUGGCAUAAGCUGUCUUUCUCUCUGUCUCCUCUCCCUCUCUGCCUCGGCUGCCAGGCAGGGAAGGGCCCCCUGUCCAGUGGACACGUGACCCACGUGACCUUACCUAUCAUUGGAGAUGACUCAUACUCUUUACCCUGCCCCUUUUGCUUCGUAUCCAAUAAAUAACAGCGCAGC
RNAcentral lists this long non-coding RNA (2721 nucleotides) under Homo sapiens (human). Its description in RNAcentral is "HSALNT0236651". The record is from RNAcentral. Lineage: Eukaryota; Metazoa; Chordata; Mammalia; Primates; Hominidae.